CCUACGGGAGGCAGCAGUCGAGAAUCAUUCACAAUGGGGGAAACCCUGAUGGUGCGACGCCGCGUGGGGGAAUGAAGGUCUUCGGAUUGUAAACCCCUGUCAUGCGGGAGUAAAUUAAAAAGAUAGUACCACAAGAGGAAGAGACGGCUAACUCUGUGCCAGCAGCCGCGGUAAUACAGAGGUCUCAAGCGUUGUUCGGAAUCACUGGGCGUAAAGGGUGCGUAGGCUGUUUCGUAAGUCGUGUGUGAAAGGCGCGGGCUCAACCCGCGGACGGCACAUGAUACUGCGAGACUAGAGUAAUGGAGGGGGAACCGGAAUUCGCGGUGUAGCAGUGAAAUGCGUAGAUAUCGAGAGGAACACUCGUGGCGAAGGCGGGUUCCUGGACAUUAACUGACGCUGAGGCACGAAGGCCAGGGGAGCGAAAGGGAUUAGAUACCCGGGUAGUC
Molecule: ribosomal RNA, 446 nt
Filed under: uncultured bacterium
Lineage: Bacteria
Description: partial 16S ribosomal RNA
Rfam family: Bacterial small subunit ribosomal RNA
Source: RNAcentral